RNAcentral lists this ribosomal RNA (497 nucleotides) under uncultured bacterium. RNAcentral's name for it is "partial 16S ribosomal RNA". It matches the Rfam family "Bacterial small subunit ribosomal RNA", at positions 28 to 507 of the family's 1533-position model. The record is from RNAcentral.
GACGAACGCUGGCGGCGUGCCUAAUACAUGCAAGUUGAGCGCUGAAGGUUGGUACUUGUACCAACUGGAUGAGCAGCGAACGGGUGAGUAACGCGUGGGGAAUCUGCCUUUGAGCGGGGGACAACAUUUGGAAACGAAUGCUAAUACCGCAUAAAAACUUUAAACACAAGUUUUAAGUUUGAAAGAUGCAAUUGCAUCACUAAAAGAUGAUUCCGCGUUGUAUUAGCUAGUUGGUGAGGUAAAGGCUCACCAAGGCGAUGAUACAUAGCCGACCUGAGAGGGUGAUCGGCCACAUUGGGACUGAGACACGGCCCAAACUCCUACGGGGCGGAGCAGGAGGGAAGCUUCGGCAAUGGAAGAAAGUCUGACCGAGCAACGCCGCGUGAGUGAAGAAGGUUGUCGGAUCGUAAAACUCGGUUGGUAGAGAAGAACGUUGGUGAGAGUGGAAAGCUCAUCAAGUGACGGUAACUACACAGAAAGGGACGGCUAACUACGUG